GAAAUGCGAUACGUCAUGCGAAUUGCAAAGCCUCGUGAAUCAUCAAACUUUUGAACGCACAUUGCGCUCCCGGGAUAUGCCCGGGAGCAUACUUAGCUGAGUGUUCGCAAACCCCACUCAACCCGUCGCGGUCUAAAAUGGACUGCGUUGGAGUUGGAUUAUGGCUUUGUUCGUCUUUGUUACGGACUUGUUGCUAAAGUGUUUGACGCUGUGACCUGACCGAGCGUGUAUUCGCCGGAGGCACGGGGACCGACUGUGGUAAAUGCGGGUUUUCCGCGUUACGUCUGUGGUUGGACUCUGAGCUUCGUGGCUUGAGUAGUGGUUCGGACUCGUCUAGUCCUGGUCGUCCCUCGCGUAGGUGACGUCCCACGUACCGGUAAUAAUCGGAUCUCAAAUUAAGUAAGACUACCCGCUGAAUUUAAGCAUAUAAUUAAGCGGAGGAAAAGAAACUAACAAGGAUUCCCCU
RNAcentral lists this ribosomal RNA (466 nucleotides) under Lithodesmium variabile. Its description in RNAcentral is "eukaryotic LSU rRNA". The stretch from base 386 to 466 matches the Rfam family "Eukaryotic large subunit ribosomal RNA", at positions 1 to 81 of the family's 3401-position model. Lineage: Eukaryota; Bacillariophyta; Thalassiosirophyceae; Lithodesmiales; Lithodesmiaceae. The record is from RNAcentral.